RNAcentral lists this ribosomal RNA (266 nucleotides) under uncultured bacterium. RNAcentral's name for it is "partial 16S ribosomal RNA". It matches the Rfam family "Bacterial small subunit ribosomal RNA", at positions 28 to 293 of the family's 1533-position model. The record is from RNAcentral.
GACGAACGCUGGCGGCGUGCUUAACACAUGCAAGUCGAGCGGUAAGGCCCUUUCGGGGUACGACGAGCGGCGAACGGGUGAGUAACACGUGGGUGACCUGCCCUCCAGCUCUGGGAUAAGCCUGGGAAACUGGGUCUAAUACCGGAUAUGACUCCAUGACGCAUGUUGUGGGGUGGAAAGCCUUGUGCGGCUGAGGAUGGGCCCGCGGCCUAUCAGCUUGUUGGUGGGGUGGAUGGCCUACCAAGGCGACGACGGGUAGCCGGCCU